GUGAGCGUAGUUCAACGGUAAAACAAUGUUCCAAGUCUUGAAUUCUUGGAUUACUAUGCAGGUUCGACUCCUGCCGCUCGCU
This 82-nucleotide transfer RNA is filed under the name Lactiplantibacillus plantarum. RNAcentral's name for it is "Lactobacillus plantarum tRNA-Ser". It matches the Rfam family "tRNA". Rfam says of the family: Transfer RNA (tRNA) molecules are approximately 80 nucleotides in length. Their secondary structure includes four short double-helical elements and three loops (D, anti-codon, and T loops). Further hydrogen bonds mediate the characteristic L-shaped molecular structure. tRNAs have two regions of fundamental functional importance: the anti-codon, which is responsible for specific mRNA codon recognition, and the 3' end, to which the tRNAs corresponding amino acid is attached (by aminoacyl-tRNA synthetases). tRNAs cope with the degeneracy of the genetic code in two manners: having more than one tRNA (with a specific anti-codon) for a particular amino acid; and 'wobble' base-pairing, i.e. permitting non-standard base-pairing at the 3rd anti-codon position. The record is from RNAcentral. Lineage: Bacteria; Bacillati; Bacillota; Bacilli; Lactobacillales; Lactobacillaceae.